AUUGAACGCUGGCGGCAUGCUUUACACAUGCAAGUCGAACGGUAACAGGGACUUCGGUCUGCUGACGAGUGGCGAACGGGUGAGUAACAUAUCGGAACGUGCCCAGUAAUGGGGGAGUAGCUCGGCGAAAGCCGGAUUAAUACCGCAUACGCCCUGAGGGGGAAAGGUAGGGGGAGUCUUCGGACCUCACGUUAUUGGAGCGGCCGAUAUCAGAUUAGCUAGUUGGUGGGGUAAAGGCCGUACCAAGGCGACGAUCUGUAGCUGGUCUGAGAGGAUGAUCAGCCACACUGGGACUGAGACACGGCCCAGACUCCUACGGGAGGCGAGCAGUGGGGAAUUUUGGACAAUGGGCGAAAGCCUGAUCCAGCCAUGCCGCGUGAGUGAAG
RNAcentral lists this ribosomal RNA (386 nucleotides) under uncultured bacterium. Its description in RNAcentral is "bacterial SSU rRNA". It matches the Rfam family "Bacterial small subunit ribosomal RNA", at positions 30 to 410 of the family's 1533-position model. The record is from RNAcentral.